Molecule: long non-coding RNA, 506 nt
Organism: Nicotiana tabacum (common tobacco)
Lineage: Eukaryota; Viridiplantae; Streptophyta; Magnoliopsida; Solanales; Solanaceae
Source: RefSeq, a predicted model, not a curated record
CUGGUAACCAUUUUCUUCUCAAUUUCUCCAUAGGUAUUGCUCAAAGCCAGCCAUACCCAGUUUAUCUUCUUCUAUUCUUAAAUGUCCACAAAAUGAAGAUGUUGCAUCGCGUCGAGCUGAAGAGGCCAAGGAACAACGACGGCGUGAUAGAAAUCUACGACGUCGCACAAGAUAUGCACAAAUGUCACCUGAAAGGAAACAAUCAUUUUUGCUGAAACUGCAAGCUAAGAGAGCUGAAUGAAAAAAGCGGCGACUUAAUCCUCAUUCAAGUAAUACAUUGUCCUUAAUGAAAACUGGUACUCAAGCUCAAAGACAGAGUACUCUUACAGUUGGUGAUCGUCCGUUAGAUUCAGAAGAAGGUCAUGCUUCUGAAGCUACAAAUAUGCCAGCUAUUAUAGAUAAAGGAAAUAAUAUGAUUGAUUGCAUGUCCAUCUUUGAAGUAGGAUCAACUUCAGGUACAUGUAAUGCAGGAAUUUCUUCAACUCCAACAGCUACUGCACAUAGAG